UGAGUACGAGAUGCUACGGCAUCGAAGCAGUCUAUGUCAUACUUCCAAGAAAAGCUUGCACUGUCAGAAACAGAUAAUGCCUGUACCAUAACCGACACAGGUGGGUAGGUAGAGUAUACUAAGGGGCGCGAGAUAACUCUCUCUAAGGAACUCGGCAAAAUGACUCCGUAACUUCGGGAGAAGGAGUGCCUUAUUUUUAAGGUUGCAAUAACAAGAUCCAAGCAACUGUUUACCAAAAACACAGGUCUCCGCUAAGUCGUAAGACGAUGUAUGGGGGCUGACGCCUGCCCAGUGCCAGAAGGUUAAAGAAGUCGGUUAGCAUUCGCGAAGCUGGUAACUGAAGCCCUGGUGAACGGCGGCCGUAACGAUAACGGUCCUAAGGUAGCGAAAUUCCUUGUCGGGUAAGUUCCGACCCGCACGAAAGGCGUAAUGAUUUGGAUACUGUCUCGGAGAGGGGCUCGGUGAAAUAGACUUGUCUGUGAAGAUGCGGACUACCUGCACCUGGACAGAAAGACCCUAUGAAGCUUUACUGUAACUUGAAAUUGAAAUUGGACUUUAUUUGCGCAGUAUAGGUGGGAGGCGUUGAAAAUAUUCUUGCGGGAAUAUUGGAGCCAUCAGUGAGAUACCACUCUUGUAAUGUUAGAUUUCUAACUUUAUAUCAUUAUCUGGUUAAAGAACAGUUUCAGGCGGGCAGUUUAACUGGGGCGGUCGCCUCCCAAAUGGUAACGGAGGCGCACAAAGGUUUCCUCUGAACGGGUAGAAAUCGUAUCUAGAGUGUAAAGGCAUAAGGAAGCUUGACUGUGAGACCUACAAGUCGAGCAGGGACGAAAGUCGGUCUUAGUGAUCUGACGGUGCUGAGUGGAAAGGCCGUCACUCAACGGAUAAAAGUUACUCUAGGAUAACAGGCUGAUCUCCCCCAAGAGUUCACAUCGACGGGGAGGUUUGGCACCUCGAUGUCGGCUCAUCGCAUCCUGGGGCGGUAGUACGUCCCAAGGGUUGGGCUGUUCGCCCAUGAAAGCGGUACGCGAGCUGGGUUCAGAACGUCGUGAGACAGUUCGGUCCAUAUCCGGUGUAGGCGUUAGAAUAUUGAGAGGAGCCUUCUUUAGUACGAGAGGACCGAGAAGGACAUACCUCUGGUGUACCAGUUAUCGUGCCAACGGUAAACGCUGGGUAGCUAUGUAUGGAGUGGAUAACCGCUGAAAGCAUCUAAGUGGGAAGCCCACCUCAAGAUAAGUAUUCUCAU
This 1243-nucleotide ribosomal RNA is filed under the name metagenome. RNAcentral describes it as "bacterial LSU rRNA". It matches the Rfam family "Bacterial large subunit ribosomal RNA", at positions 1564 to 2817 of the family's 2925-position model. The record is from RNAcentral.